CCUACGGGAGGCAGCAGUAAGGAAUAUUGGUCAAUGGGCGCAAGCCUGAACCAGCCAUGCCGCGUGCAGGAAGACGGCCCUAUGGGUUGUAAACUGCUUUUGUCAGGGAAUAAACCCCCGUACGUGUACGGGGCUGAAGGUACCUGAAGAAUAAGCAUCGGCUAACUCCGUGCCAGCAGCCGCGGUAAUA
RNAcentral lists this ribosomal RNA (190 nucleotides) under uncultured bacterium. RNAcentral describes it as "16S ribosomal RNA". It matches the Rfam family "Bacterial small subunit ribosomal RNA", at positions 338 to 525 of the family's 1533-position model. The record is from RNAcentral.